GAUGAACGCUGGCGGCGUGCUUAACACAUGCAAGUCGAACGGAAAGGCUCCUGCUUGCAGGGGUACUCGAGUGGCGAACGGGUGAGUAACACGUGGGUGAUCUGCCCUGCACUUCGGGAUAAGCCUGGGAAACUGGGUCUAAUACCGGAUAGGACGAUGGUUUGGAUGCCAUUGUGGAAAGUUUUUUCGGUGUGGGAUGAGCUCGCGGCCUAUCAGCUUGUUGAUGGGGUAAUGGCCUACCAAGGCGUCGACGGGUAGCCGGCCUGAGAGGGUGUACGGCCACAUUGGGACUGAGAUACGGCCCAGACUCCUACGGGAGGCAGCAGUGGGGAAUAUUGCACAAUGGGCGCAAGCCUGAUGCAGCGACGCCGCGUGGGGGAUGACGGCCUUCGGGUUGUAAACUCCUUUCGCUAGGGACGAAGCGCAAGUGACGGUACCUGGAGAAGAAGCACCGGCUAACUACGUG
Molecule: ribosomal RNA, 466 nt
Filed under: uncultured bacterium
Lineage: Bacteria
Description: partial 16S ribosomal RNA
Rfam family: Bacterial small subunit ribosomal RNA
Source: RNAcentral